UGCUCUAGAGUUUGAUUCAGGCUCAGAUUGAUCCCUGCCGUCAGUCCUUAUCCCUUUUCAAGUCGAACGGUAACAGGAAGCAGAUUUAUGAUUCGCUGACGAGUGACGAACGGGUGAGUAAUCUCUGGGAAACUGCGUGAUGGAGGGGGAUAACUACUGGAAACGGUAGAUAAUACCGCAUAACGUCGCAAGGCCAAWGAGGGGGACCUUCGGGCCUCUUCCCAUCGGAUGUGCCCAGAUGGGAUUAGUUAGUCGGUGGGGUAACGGUUCACCAAGGCGCCGAUCCUUACCUGCUCUGAGAGGAUGUCCACCCCCACUGGAAUUGAGCCACGGUCCAGAUUCCUCCGGGAGCCACCAGUGGGGAAUAUUGCCCAAUGGGCGCAAUCCUGAUGCACCCAUCCCGCGUGUAUGAAGAAGUCUUUCGGUUUGUAAAGUCCUUUCAGCGGGGAGGAAGGGAGUAAAGUUAAUUCCUUUUCUCAUUGCCGUUUCUCGCCGAAGAAGCACCGGCUAAUUCCGUGCCACCAGCCCCGGUAAUACGGAGGGUCCAAGCGUUAAUCGGAAUUUUUGGGCGUAAAGCGCACCCAGGCGGUUUGUUAAUUCAGAUGUGAAAUCCCCGGGUUCACCCUGGGAGCUCCAUGUGAUACUGGCAAGCUUGAGUCUGGUAGAGGGGGGUAGAAUUCCAGGGGUACCGGUGAAAUGCGUAGAAUUCUGGAGGAAUACCGGUGGCGAAGGCGGCCUCCUGUCCGAAGCCUGACGCUCAGGUGCGAAAGCGGGGGAGCAACCAGGAUUAGAUACCCUGGUAGUCCACGCCGUAAACGAUGUCGACUAGGAGGUUGGCCCUUGAGGCGUCGCUUCCGCAGCUAACGCGUAAGUCGUCCGCCUGGGAAACCC
RNAcentral lists this ribosomal RNA (891 nucleotides) under Escherichia coli. RNAcentral describes it as "bacterial SSU rRNA". It matches the Rfam family "Bacterial small subunit ribosomal RNA", at positions 1 to 883 of the family's 1533-position model. Lineage: Bacteria; Pseudomonadati; Pseudomonadota; Gammaproteobacteria; Enterobacterales; Enterobacteriaceae. The record is from RNAcentral.